Molecule: non-coding RNA, 64 nt
Organism: Zootermopsis nevadensis
Lineage: Eukaryota; Metazoa; Arthropoda; Insecta; Blattodea; Termopsidae
Source: Rfam
CGGUGGUCUAGCGGUUAGAACGCUGGCCUUGUAAUCCUGGGGUCUCGGGUUCGAUUCCCGGCUG